CCUACGGGGGGCAGCAGUGGGGAAUAUUGCACAAUGGGGGAAACCCUGAUGCAGCGACGCCGCGUGAGUGAAGAAGUAUUUCGGUACGUAAAGCUCUAUCAGCAGGGAAGAAAAUGACGGUACCUGACUAAGAAGCCCCGGCGAACCACGUGCCAGAAGCCGCGGGAAUACGGAGGGGGCAAGCGUUAUCCGGAUUUACUGGGUUGAAAGGGAGCGUAGACGGCAGCGGAAGUCUGAAGUGAAAUCCCAUGGCUUACACAUGGAACUAAUUUGGAAAAUGUGCAGCUGGAGUGCAGGAGAUGUAAGCGGAAUUCCUAGUGUAGCGGUGAAAUGCGUAGAUAUUAGGAGGAACACCAGUGUAGAAGGCGGCUUACUGGACUGUAACUGACGUUGAGGCUCGAAAGCGUGGGGAGCAAACAGGAUUAGAGACCCUUGUAGUC
This 440-nucleotide ribosomal RNA is filed under the name uncultured bacterium. RNAcentral's name for it is "partial 16S ribosomal RNA". It matches the Rfam family "Bacterial small subunit ribosomal RNA", at positions 338 to 795 of the family's 1533-position model. The record is from RNAcentral.